RNAcentral lists this ribosomal RNA (2904 nucleotides) under Escherichia coli. RNAcentral describes it as "23S ribosomal RNA". It matches the Rfam family "Bacterial large subunit ribosomal RNA". Lineage: Bacteria; Pseudomonadati; Pseudomonadota; Gammaproteobacteria; Enterobacterales; Enterobacteriaceae. The record is from RNAcentral.
GGUUAAGCGACUAAGCGUACACGGUGGAUGCCCUGGCAGUCAGAGGCGAUGAAGGACGUGCUAAUCUGCGAUAAGCGUCGGUAAGGUGAUAUGAACCGUUAUAACCGGCGAUUUCCGAAUGGGGAAACCCAGUGUGAUUCGUCACACUAUCAUUAACUGAAUCCAUAGGUUAAUGAGGCGAACCGGGGGAACUGAAACAUCUAAGUACCCCGAGGAAAAGAAAUCAACCGAGAUUCCCCCAGUAGCGGCGAGCGAACGGGGAGCAGCCCAGAGCCUGAAUCAGUGUGUGUGUUAGUGGAAGCGUCUGGAAAGGCGCGCGAUACAGGGUGACAGCCCCGUACACAAAAAUGCACAUACUGUGAGCUCGAUGAGUAGGGCGGGACACGUGGUAUCCUGUCUGAAUAUGGGGGGACCAUCCUCCAAGGCUAAAUACUCCUGACUGACCGAUAGUGAACCAGUACCGUGAGGGAAAGGCGAAAAGAACCCCGGCGAGGGGAGUGAAAAAGAACCUGAAACCGUGUACGUACAAGCAGUGGGAGCACGCUUAGGCGUGUGACUGCGUACCUUUUGUAUAAUGGGUCAGCGACUUAUAUUCUGUAGCAAGGUUAACCGAAUAGGGGAGCCGAAGGGAAACCGAGUCUUAACUGGGCGUUAAGUUGCAGGGUAUAGACCCGAAACCCGGUGAUCUAGCCAUGGGCAGGUUGAAGGUUGGGUAACACUAACUGGAGGACCGAACCGACUAAUGUUGAAAAAUUAGCGGAUGACUUGUGGCUGGGGGUGAAAGGCCAAUCAAACCGGGAGAUAGCUGGUUCUCCCCGAAAGCUAUUUAGGUAGCGCCUCGUGAAUUCAUCUCCGGGGGUAGAGCACUGUUUCGGCAAGGGGGUCAUCCCGACUUACCAACCCGAUGCAAACUGCGAAUACCGGAGAAUGUUAUCACGGGAGACACACGGCGGGUGCUAACGUCCGUCGUGAAGAGGGAAACAACCCAGACCGCCAGCUAAGGUCCCAAAGUCAUGGUUAAGUGGGAAACGAUGUGGGAAGGCCCAGACAGCCAGGAUGUUGGCUUAGAAGCAGCCAUCAUUUAAAGAAAGCGUAAUAGCUCACUGGUCGAGUCGGCCUGCGCGGAAGAUGUAACGGGGCUAAACCAUGCACCGAAGCUGCGGCAGCGACGCUUAUGCGUUGUUGGGUAGGGGAGCGUUCUGUAAGCCUGCGAAGGUGUGCUGUGAGGCAUGCUGGAGGUAUCAGAAGUGCGAAUGCUGACAUAAGUAACGAUAAAGCGGGUGAAAAGCCCGCUCGCCGGAAGACCAAGGGUUCCUGUCCAACGUUAAUCGGGGCAGGGUGAGUCGACCCCUAAGGCGAGGCCGAAAGGCGUAGUCGAUGGGAAACAGGUUAAUAUUCCUGUACUUGGUGUUACUGCGAAGGGGGGACGGAGAAGGCUAUGUUGGCCGGGCGACGGUUGUCCCGGUUUAAGCGUGUAGGCUGGUUUUCCAGGCAAAUCCGGAAAAUCAAGGCUGAGGCGUGAUGACGAGGCACUACGGUGCUGAAGCAACAAAUGCCCUGCUUCCAGGAAAAGCCUCUAAGCAUCAGGUAACAUCAAAUCGUACCCCAAACCGACACAGGUGGUCAGGUAGAGAAUACCAAGGCGCUUGAGAGAACUCGGGUGAAGGAACUAGGCAAAAUGGUGCCGUAACUUCGGGAGAAGGCACGCUGAUAUGUAGGUGAAGUCCCUCGCGGAUGGAGCUGAAAUCAGUCGAAGAUACCAGCUGGCUGCAACUGUUUAUUAAAAACACAGCACUGUGCAAACACGAAAGUGGACGUAUACGGUGUGACGCCUGCCCGGUGCCGGAAGGUUAAUUGAUGGGGUCAGCGCAAGCGAAGCUCUUGAUCGAAGCCCCGGUAAACGGCGGCCGUAACUAUAACGGUCCUAAGGUAGCGAAAUUCCUUGUCGGGUAAGUUCCGACCUGCACGAAUGGCGUAAUGAUGGCCAGGCUGUCUCCACCCGAGACUCAGUGAAAUUGAACUCGCUGUGAAGAUGCAGUGUACCCGCGGCAAGACGGAAAGACCCCGUGAACCUUUACUAUAGCUUGACACUGAACAUUGAGCCUUGAUGUGUAGGAUAGGUGGGAGGCUUUGAAGUGUGGACGCCAGUCUGCAUGGAGCCGACCUUGAAAUACCACCCUUUAAUGUUUGAUGUUCUAACGUGGACCCGUGAUCCGGGUUGCGGACAGUGUCUGGUGGGUAGUUUGACUGGGGCGGUCUCCUCCUAAAGAGUAACGGAGGAGCACGAAGGUUGGCUAAUCCUGGUCGGACAUCAGGAGGUUAGUGCAAUGGCAUAAGCCAGCUUGACUGCGAGCGUGACGGCGCGAGCAGGUGCGAAAGCAGGUCAUAGUGAUCCGGUGGUUCUGAAUGGAAGGGCCAUCGCUCAACGGAUAAAAGGUACUCCGGGGAUAACAGGCUGAUACCGCCCAAGAGUUCAUAUCGACGGCGGUGUUUGGCACCUCGAUGUCGGCUCAUCACAUCCUGGGGCUGAAGUAGGUCCCAAGGGUAUGGCUGUUCGCCAUUUAAAGUGGUACGCGAGCUGGGUUUAGAACGUCGUGAGACAGUUCGGUCCCUAUCUGCCGUGGGCGCUGGAGAACUGAGGGGGGCUGCUCCUAGUACGAGAGGACCGGAGUGGACGCAUCACUGGUGUUCGGGUUGUCAUGCCAAUGGCACUGCCCGGUAGCUAAAUGCGGAAGAGAUAAGUGCUGAAAGCAUCUAAGCACGAAACUUGCCCCGAGAUGAGUUCUCCCUGACUCCUUGAGAGUCCUGAAGGAACGUUGAAGACGACGACGUUGAUAGGCCGGGUGUGUAAGCGCAGCGAUGCGUUGAGCUAACCGGUACUAAUGAACCGUGAGGCUUAACCUU